GAUGAACGCUGGCGGCGUGCCUAAUACAUGCAAGUCGAGCGAACGGACGAGAAGCUUGCUUCUCUGAUGUUAGCGGCGGACGGGUGAGUAACACGUGGAUAACCUACCUAUAAGACUGGGAUAACUUCGGGAAACCGGAGCUAAUACCGGAUAAUAUUUUGAACCGCAUGGUUCAAAAGUGAAAGACGGUCUUGCUGUCGCUUAUAGAUGGAUCCGCGCUGCAUUAGCUAGUUGGUAAGGUAACGGCUUACCAAGGCAACGAUGCAUAGCCGACCUGAGAGGGUGAUCGGCCACACUGGAACUGAGACACGGUCCAGACUCCUACGGGAGGCAGCAGUAGGGAAUCUUCCGCAAUGGGCGAAAGCCUGACGGAGCAACGCCGCGUGAGUGAUGAAGGUCUUCGGAUCGUAAAACUCUGUUAUUAGGGAAGAACAUAUGUGUAAGUAACUGUGCACGUCUUGACGGUACCUAAUCAGAAAGCCACGGCUAACUACGUG
This 497-nucleotide ribosomal RNA is filed under the name uncultured bacterium. RNAcentral describes it as "partial 16S ribosomal RNA". It matches the Rfam family "Bacterial small subunit ribosomal RNA", at positions 28 to 507 of the family's 1533-position model. The record is from RNAcentral.